CCUACGGGAGGCAGCAAUGGGGAAUAUUGCACAAUGGUGUGAACCCUGAUGCAGCGACGCCGCGUGGGUGAAGAAGUAUUUCGGUAUGUAAAACUCUCUCAGCAGGGAAGAAAAUGACGGUACCUGACUAAGAAGCCCCGGCUAACUACGUGCCAGCAGCCGCGGUCAUACGUAGGGGGCAAGCGUUAUCCGGAUUUACUGGGUGUAAAUGGUGCGUAGACGGCCAGACAAGUCAGAAGUGAAAGCCCAGGGCUCAACUCUGGGACUGCUUUUGAAACUGCCGGGCUGGAGUGCAGGAGAGGUAAGCGGAAUUCCUAGUGUAGCGGUGAAAUGCGUAGAUAUUAGGAGGAACACCAGUGGCGAAGGCGGCUUACUGGACUGUAACUGACGUUGAGGCGCGAAAGCGUGGGGAGCAAACAGGAUUAGAUACCCUUGUAGUC
Molecule: ribosomal RNA, 440 nt
Filed under: uncultured bacterium
Lineage: Bacteria
Description: partial 16S ribosomal RNA
Rfam family: Bacterial small subunit ribosomal RNA
Source: RNAcentral